UAGUGGCGCACGGGUGCGUAACGCGUGGGAAUCUGCCCUUGGGUACGGAAUAACAGUUAGAAAUGACUGCUAAUACCGUAUAAUGACUUCGGUCCAAAGAUUUAUCGCCCAGGGAUGAGCCCGCGUAGGAUUAGCUAGUUGGUGAGGUAAAGGCUCACCAAGGCGACGAUCCUUAGCUGGUCUGAGAGGAUGAUCAGCCACACUGGGACUGAGACACGGCCCAG
RNAcentral lists this ribosomal RNA (224 nucleotides) under uncultured bacterium. RNAcentral describes it as "partial 16S ribosomal RNA". It matches the Rfam family "Bacterial small subunit ribosomal RNA", at positions 93 to 334 of the family's 1533-position model. The record is from RNAcentral.